Molecule: ribosomal RNA, 501 nt
Filed under: uncultured bacterium
Lineage: Bacteria
Description: partial 16S ribosomal RNA
Rfam family: Bacterial small subunit ribosomal RNA
Source: RNAcentral
AUUGAACGCUGGCGGCAGGCUUAACACAUGCAAGUCGAGCGGGGGAGGUUGCUUCGGUAACUGACCUAGCGGCGGACGGGUGAGUAAUGCUUAGGAAUCUGCCUAUUAGUGGGGGACAACAUUCCGAAAGGAAUGCUAAUACCGCAUACGUCCUACGGGGGAAAGCAGGGGAUCUUCGGACCUUGCGCUAAUAGAUGAGCCUAAGUCGGAUUAGCUAGUUGGUGGGGUAAAGGCCUACCAAGGCGACGAUCUGUAGCGGGUCUGAGAGGAUGAUCCGCCACACUGGGACUGAGACACGGCCCAGACUCCUACGGGAGGCAGCAGUGGGGAAUAUUGGACAAUGGGGGGAACCCUGAUCCAGCCAUGCCGCGUGUGUGAAGAAGGCCUUUUGGUUGUAAAGCACUUUAAGCGAGGAGGAGGCUCCUUUAGUUAAUACCUAAAGAGAGUGGACGUUACUCGCAGAAUAAGCACCGGCUAACUCUGUGCCAGCCGCCGCCGUAA